Lathyrus oleraceus (garden pea) is the source of this 347-nucleotide long non-coding RNA. RefSeq lists it as uncharacterized. NCBI's taxonomy places the organism in Eukaryota, Viridiplantae, Streptophyta, Magnoliopsida, Fabales, Fabaceae. The transcript is spliced from 3 exons. The record is from RefSeq and is a predicted model, not a curated record.
GCCGCUACUCCAACAACAAACACGAGAAACCUAGUGUGCUAAUGUGCUUGAGACAGGUUUUAAAGGUUUGGAUUGAUGCAAGUUGGACCUUACAAGUUUGGUUUGAGUUUAGAACAUGUUUGUUGCAGGUUCAUAGGUUGCAUCAGUUCUGCAACCAGUUCCUUGCUGCAGGUCUUGGUUUAGUAAGUUGACUUGGUGUUGAUUUGUGGUGAUGUCGUUAAUUUGUACUUCUAUCAUGUUAAUCCUAUGUUAAGUUGUUGUACCAAGCAUUGGUUAGUGAAUGUUGGUUAAUUAGAUGAUGCAAAUGUUAAUUGGGAUUGUUAGAUUUAUUGAAUAGGACUGUUAGA